UCAUUCGAUCCUCAGCCCUAUCAACUUCCGAUGGUAGGAUAGAGGCCUACCAUGGUGUCGACGGGUAACGGGGAAUUAGGGUUCUAUUCCGGAGAGGGAGCCUGAGAAACGUGAGUUAACUAAUCUUCCAACUAAAUUUUCCUUUACAGUUGCUAACGAGAUGCAGGGCUACCACAUCCAAGGAAGGCAGCAGGCGCGCAAAUUACCCAAUUCCAAUUCGGAGAGGUAGUGACAAUACAUACUGAUGCGGUGCUCGUUUGGGCAUCGCAAUUGGAAUGAGAACAAUCUAAAUCCCUUAUCGAGGAACAAUUGGAGGGCAAGUCUGGUGGACAGCUGGCGCCAGACAGCCGGAGCACUCAGCUGUGAGUCGCUCUGACAGUGGGUGUAACAACCCGGGAGGAAUCCGGUACCGUGGACGCUCCAGCCGGAGCCGACACGGUGGCAGUCUUGACUGUCGAAACGCACGCCAGGGUUCCGGUAGAUCCCAGCGGAUCUACUUGAGGUACGUGCUAAACUUCCCCCCUGGGGCGAAGAGUUAGUUGGCCAGCAGCCGCGGUAAUUCCAGCUCCAAUAGCGUAUAUUAAAGUUGUUGCAGUUAAAAGGCUCGUAGUUGAACUUUGGGUCUAGCCGUCCGGUCCGCCUCACCGCGAGUACUGGCUCGGCUGGAUCUUUCCUUCUGGGGAUCCGCAUGCUCUUUAUUGAGCGUGUUGGGGAACCAGGACUUUAACUUUGAAAAACUUAGAGUGUUCAAAGCAGGCAUAUGCUCGAAUAUCUUAGCAUGGAAUAAUAGAAUAGGACGUGCGGUUCUAUUUUGUUGGUUUCUAGGACCGCCGUAAUGAUUAAUAGGGAUAGUCGGGGGCAUCAGUAUUCAAUUGUCAGAGGUGAAAUUCUUGGAUUAUUGAAGACUAACUACUGCGGAAGCAUUUGCAAAGGAUGUUCAUUAAUCAGUGAACGAAAGUUAGGGGAUCC
This 969-nucleotide ribosomal RNA is filed under the name Micropeltis phetchaburiensis. RNAcentral's name for it is "partial small subunit ribosomal RNA". It matches the Rfam family "Eukaryotic small subunit ribosomal RNA", at positions 295 to 1000 of the family's 1831-position model. Lineage: Eukaryota; Fungi; Ascomycota; Lecanoromycetes; Micropeltidales; Micropeltidaceae. The record is from RNAcentral.